UACGGAGGGUGCAAGCGUUGUUCGGAAUCACUGGGCUUAAAGGGCGCGUAGGCGGGCUGUCAAGUCUGGGGUGAAAUCCCACGGCUCAACCGUGGAACUGCCUAAGAUACUGACGGCCUCGAGGGAGGUAGGGGCGAGCGGAACGGGUGGUGGAGCGGUGAAAUGCGUUGAUAUCACUCGGAACUCCGGUGGCGAAAGCGGCUCGCUGGACCUUUUCUGACGCUGAGGCGCGAAAGCUAGGGGAGCAAACGGG
This 253-nucleotide ribosomal RNA is filed under the name uncultured bacterium. RNAcentral describes it as "partial 16S ribosomal RNA". It matches the Rfam family "Bacterial small subunit ribosomal RNA", at positions 524 to 776 of the family's 1533-position model. The record is from RNAcentral.